Molecule: long non-coding RNA, 864 nt
Filed under: Coccomyxa subellipsoidea
Lineage: Eukaryota; Viridiplantae; Chlorophyta; Trebouxiophyceae; Coccomyxaceae
Description: long non-coding RNA (CSUB_LNC000028)
Source: RNAcentral
CUGAGUCAUGGCAUACAAUCGAGCAUCAUGCUGUGUGAUGGACGCCCGCCGGAUCUUUGGCAAAGGCUGUCCCGCUGGCUUGCUGGUACUGGCAACCCCAGAUGAGCGAGCAAAGGGGGACUCAGUCACGCUCAAGUCAUCCUCAGAGGUGGUCAUUCGCCUGGCGUGCCAAUGCCCCUGCUUAUCCCUGCAAAGCGACAAUUGCUUUCAACAAUCCAGUCACCCACACACUGGUUCCAUUACCGUCCAUUGAGUGGCAUAUUUGGCAGUAAAUAGAGAUGCAAAAAAAAAAUGACAGGAGCAAGUAAGGCUCAAGGGCCUGCUUGCAAGCGAAGAAAAGCAAAGGUUCUGAUGCCACAACACUUACUCUGAAAGCAAGUGUUCCUUCGAAGGCCCCAAGCCCGUCAAAGAGCCACUCCCUUUCGUCUUUAGAGCAGCAAGCUUCUGUGACUUCAUACUGGUUGCUUCCUCACCAAGACUUCAGUGACCCCAGUCAAAACACUAUUUCUUGUUUGUUAGGUGACACAUCCGCCGUUAGAGCCUUCGCAGGUGCUCUUGAUGUGAGUUUUUUUGCUCACAUCUUGGAGACAUGCACUGAUCGAGGAAGCGCAAAUUGAUUUCAUACUGAAUAUCCAGGGUACGACCUACGUAUGCAUCAUGCAUUGUUUCUCAAAAUAAGCCAUUUAUAUCAUCUGAGCAUGCAAAGCGUUCGUGUUUCCAAGAUGGAGCAAAUUAUCAUGCACCAUCAGCCCACGUAUUUCUCCUCUCAGAUUCACAAGUACCUUGCCAAGCUCUACAACGCUUUGCAAGUGUUCUAAACAGUCCUAGGCACAAAGAGUGUGAUGUGAGACAGCAUGCAAGGCA